AGUUCGUGGAGUGAUCUGUCUGCUUAAUUGCGUUUCACUAAGGGCUUAUUAAUUACGUGUGUAGCACUCUCUUUGACCCCUCUUCAUUGAGCGCGUGUCUUAGAUGAUUAUGCUCGCACAAUUAAGUCCUGAAAGCAACGAACGUGACCGCAACCUCUUGUUGCCUUUUGCACAAUCCUUCGCUUCAUUAUCUUUUGAUUUUAGGCGUAGAAAAAGAGGCUAUUAAACUAGAGGGACCGCUGUAAUCUUUUUAAACCAGAGGAAGGUUGCGGCAAUAACAGG
This 282-nucleotide ribosomal RNA is filed under the name Foraminifera sp. Its description in RNAcentral is "partial small subunit ribosomal RNA". Lineage: Eukaryota; Foraminifera. The record is from RNAcentral.